UUUCCGUAGGUGAACCUGCGGAAGGAUCAUUACUAACGUAUCCACGUAUAAACCAAAACAGUUGAAUUUGUUUCCCAAUUCGUCCGUUAGGCUGGGAAUGGUUGUUGGACGGUAGUUCGUUCAAUAAUUAGCGAUCUUAACUGAUUGUACCCUACCUAGUUCGCGAAUUUUUUACUAAACUAAAAUUUUAACCCAUUUCACCCAAUUUCAAUAUGAACUUAAACUGAUUUAGAAAGGAGACUUUCUGAAUUAAAAAAUACGAAAUUAAGAACAACUCUUAACAACGGAUAUCUUGGCUCUC
Molecule: unclassified non-coding RNA, 301 nt
Filed under: plant metagenome
Description: partial contains small subunit ribosomal RNA, internal transcribed spacer 1, and 5.8S ribosomal RNA
Source: RNAcentral